Molecule: ribosomal RNA, 501 nt
Filed under: uncultured bacterium
Lineage: Bacteria
Description: partial 16S ribosomal RNA
Rfam family: Bacterial small subunit ribosomal RNA
Source: RNAcentral
AUUGAACGCUGGCGGCAGGCUUAACACAUGCAAGUCGAGCGGAGAUGAGGUGCUUGCACCUUAUCUUAGCGGCGGACGGGUGAGUAAUGCUUAGGAAUCUGCCUAUUAGUGGGGGACAACAUUCCGAAAGGAAUGCUAAUACCGCAUACGUCCUACGGGAGAAAGCAGGGGAUCUUCGGACCUUGCGCUAAUCGAUGAGCCUAAGUCGGAUUAGCUAGUUGGUGGGGUAAAGGCCUACCAAGGCGACGAUCUGUAGCGGGUCUGAGAGGAUGAUCCGCCACACUGAGACUGAGACACGUCCCAGACUCCUACGGGAGGCAUCAGUGGGGAAUAUUGGACAAUGGGGGGAACCCUGAUCCAGCCAUGCCGCGUGUGUGAAGAAGGCCUUAUGGUUGUAAAGCACUUUAAGCGAGGAGGAGGCUCUUUUGGUUAAUACCCAAGAUGAGUGGACGUUACUCGCAGAAUAAGCACCGGCUAACUCUGUGCCAGCCGCCGCCGUAA